CUGAAGGGACUAGUGCCUUACGACUUUGGUCCAUUAAGCCUGUUGUGCUCGAAACUUUCCAUGGGAAAAGUAGAAAAGGGACCAUCAACUGGAAUUGUUCCACAGAGAUCAUUAUCAGAUACAUCAAAAACUUUGAGGUCUUUGAGGGUGGUGAGCUCCCUUGGAAUAGAUCCAGUUAGCUUGUUGUUGUUUAGCCGUAGGAAUUUGAGUGACUUCAACUUGGCCAAGGACUUGGGUAUUUCUCCUUCAAAUUUGUUGUCAUACAUAUCCAUGCUCACAAGAUUUUUUAACUUACCCAACUCCUUAGGAAUUUUCCCUCCUAUGUUAUUCCUAUAAAGCUCCAAGUA
This 347-nucleotide unclassified non-coding RNA is filed under the name Hevea brasiliensis (rubber tree). Lineage: Eukaryota; Viridiplantae; Streptophyta; Magnoliopsida; Malpighiales; Euphorbiaceae. The record is from RNAcentral.